AAUGAACGCUGGCGGCAUGCCUUACACAUGCAAGUCGAACGGCAGCAUGACCUAGCUUGCUAGGUUGAUGGCGAGUGGCGAACGGGCGAGUAAUGCAUCGGAACGUGCCUUUUAGUGGGGGAUAACGUAGCGAAAGUUACGCUAAUACCGCAUAUUCUCUGAGGAGGAAAGCAGGGGGCCUUCGGGCCUUGCGCUAGAAGAGCGGCCGAUGUCGGAUUAGCUAGUUGGUGAGGUAAAGGCUCACCAAGGCAACGAUCCGUAGCGGGUCUGAGAGGAUGAUCCGCCACACUGGGACUGAGACACGGCCCAGACUCCUACGGGAGGCAGCAGUGGGGAAUUUUGGACAAUGGGCGCAAGCCUGAUCCAGCCAUGCCGCGUGAGUGAAGAAGGCCUUCGGGUUGUAAAGCUCUUUCGGCUGGGAAGAAAUCGCACUCUCUAAUACAGGGUGUGGAUGACGGUACCAGCAUAAGAAGCACCGGCUAACUACGUG
RNAcentral lists this ribosomal RNA (490 nucleotides) under uncultured bacterium. Its description in RNAcentral is "partial 16S ribosomal RNA". It matches the Rfam family "Bacterial small subunit ribosomal RNA", at positions 29 to 507 of the family's 1533-position model. The record is from RNAcentral.